CUAACAAGGAUUCCCUUAGUAACGGCGAGUGAACAGGGAUUAGCCCAGCACCGAAGCCUGUGGCCAUUUGGUUACUAGGCAAUGUGGUGUUUAGGUCGUUCCGCAGAGGCACUGCUCCACUCCAAGUCCAGCAAUGAGUACGGUAGUACAGACUUGGCCCAUAGAGGGUGAAAGGCCCGUGGGGGUGGAGAUUCAGGCAGGUUAGUGUCUCUCUGGAUAGACCUUGGAGUCGGGUUGUUUGUGAAUGCAGCCCAAAGCGGGUGGUAAACUCCAUCCAAGGCUAAAUACUAGCACGAGUCCGAUAGCGAACAAGUACCGUGAGGGAAAGUUGAAAAGUACUUUGAAGAGAGAGUAAACAGUGCGUGAAACCGCUCAGAGGUAAACGGGUGGAGUUGAACUGCAAGCCUUGAGAAUUCAGCUGGUGAGUGUGGUUUGAGCUUGGUCAAAUUGGUUGUACUCUGGGGUCUGCGUAGUAGCAGGUCUCUGCCUUCGGGUGGGGAUGUACGAAUCGCUUAUCAAGCGUUGUGCGCUUCAGUUGUAUUCGGGCCUGCUUGCCAGUGCACUUUCUCUUGGUGUUCACCACGACCGGCACUGCUGUCUGACUGUUGUGGUUAAACCGGUCUUGCAUUGUCCUUGUGGCUUUCUUUGGUCGGGACGGCAGGUAGCUCGUUGGCUAGUCUGGGGUAACCUGGGCAAUUGGUCUUCGGGUGUAAUCAGCUGACCAUGAUGGUUCUGUGCAGUGUGUCGGAGACGGCGGCUUGUUGUGUGAGCGCGCGUGCCUUGUCUUCUGACUUGUUUGGGUUUGAUUGCUAUGUUGCUUGUUCUGCAGGCCUAGUGAUAUCCUGAGCAUGUUUGGUUGGCGGUGGCGUGUGUGACACUAAUACAGGGCCAAUAGUCUGUGGUGUAGUGGUAGAC
RNAcentral lists this ribosomal RNA (915 nucleotides) under Lepidapedon desclersae. Its description in RNAcentral is "eukaryotic LSU rRNA". It matches the Rfam family "Eukaryotic large subunit ribosomal RNA", at positions 65 to 633 of the family's 3401-position model. Lineage: Eukaryota; Metazoa; Platyhelminthes; Trematoda; Plagiorchiida; Lepocreadiidae. The record is from RNAcentral.